AGAGUUUGAUCCUGGCUCAGGACGAACGCUGGCGGCGUGCCUAACACAUGCAAGUCGAACGGAGCGCUAUUGAAGAACUUUUCGGAGGGAAUCGAGAGCAGCUUAGUGGCGGACGGGUGAGUAACGCGUGAGGAACCUGCCUUUCAGAGGGGGACAACAGCUGGAAACGGCUGCUAAUACCGCAUAAUGCAGCGGGAUCGCAUGAUCCUGCUGCCAAAGAUUAUCGCUGAAAGAU
Molecule: ribosomal RNA, 235 nt
Filed under: uncultured bacterium
Lineage: Bacteria
Description: partial 16S ribosomal RNA
Rfam family: Bacterial small subunit ribosomal RNA
Source: RNAcentral